UGUUUUGCCACUUGUUUUGGCACAGGCUUUGACCCUUGAAGAGUGAUGUAUCUGAUUUGGUUGCAGCCAUCUGCAUUAUUAGAAGAACCCAAAACAGAAGAUGCGAGAUCAUGCACAAGAUCGUGCAUCACACAACUCUCCACAUUUCCAAUAUCAUCUCUCCCUGCAACUUGCAACAAAGAGUUUUGUAGAAGCAUAUUAAAGAACAUGUCUCCCACAGACUCCAUAUCAUCUCUUCGAUUUGGCUGAAGAAAACCUUCUGCCAUCCAUUGUUCAAUCAGCUCCUGCUUCACAAUUCUGUCACCUUUUGGGAAAAUUGAACAGUAUGUGAAGCACUUCUUGAGUGACGGUGAAGACAAAUUAUCAAAGCUCAAUCUCAAAAUUUUCGAGAUGUUAUCUCCAUCAACAUCCGUAAGCCAUCUCUGUUCGACAUCGAGCCACUCUUUUUGAGAUUUACGGCGAAGCACUCCCCCGACAACAUUGGCAGCUAAGGGCAGACCUUGACAUCUCUCGGCAAUCUUUUUCCCAAUCAUCUCCAAUCCUGAUGGUACUUGAUCUCCAUUUUCUUUGUGGAGAAGAUGAUAGCUGAGUUCAUCCACAACAUUAUCAGCAUCGAAGGCCAGCGCUUCAAGCUUCCUCAACCAGAUCUUGACAGCAUCUUGGGUGAUGGAUUUCUUCUCCGCAUCAUUCAAGUAACCCUGAAUGAUUCCCAAAGUCGUUUGCAGCUGUUGGGCAUCUUCGUCGAGACCUCGAAGUAGAGAGUGCUCUUCUUUGAAAACAUUGAUAAGGCUUUGAAGCAGAAUUUCAAUGGCUGCAGCAGACACACCUCCUCCAUCCAUGGUUUUGCAGAGAGAGAAUGCUUGUGAACUUUUUUUUUUGCGUGUGAAGAUGAUGAUUGUAAAGUUGUGGAUGACCAUUCAAACAUUAUCUCUCUUCAAUUAUAUGUGGAAAAAGGCAAAGUCAUUAAUGAUCCAGCUUCACCUUUUCGAGGAUGUUUUGUUAUUCAUUCCUUACGAGCAUGUGCAGUGUGGCUCGAUCGAACGGCUUGAGCCGGCCCUCGAAGAGCCCCACCCUAUUGCCGCACCUGGGGGCUCGAGAUAGGGUGUGAUGGGUAGAGCCCAGUUGCGUUAUGUCUCUUGGACCUAUCCAAAUUAACGGAUUCAAAAUUUACUUUUUGGAAAUUGAUUUAACUUUCAUCUUUUAAAAAUAGGAUUCUAUGUUGGAUGUAAAUAAAGCUAUAAAUUUGUACUAGCUUGUUGCAUUUCGACUGGAAUUAAUUAUUAUAUACUCCCUCCGUCCCCAAAAUAAGUUUCUCUUUUUCCAUUUUGGGACGUCCCCCAAAUAAGUUCCUCUUUCUUUCUUUCUAUUUUUGGACAACUACCCCACCACUAAUAAUACUUUAUUUAUUCUUACUUUUCACUUUUUCACCACUCCCAAUACUAAUUAUAACACUUUUUCAUCUUUUCACCACUCCCAAUACUAAUUAUAACACAUUUUUCUCCACUAUCAAUACACUUUACCAUUUUCCUUAAAACCCGUGCCGUCCCCAAAGAGGAACUUAUUUUGGGGACGGAGGGAGUAUAAACUAGUAAGGAGUCCUUCGAAAUUCGACGGGAUUCAUUAUUAUAAAUUAAUUAUAUGAUAAUAUAAAAUUAUUUAAUACCAUUUUUUAUUCAUAAAUUAGAGUAUUGAAUAAAAUAGUUUCAAAAUAAAAAAAUGUACUAUUUAUUUAAAAUUUGUCUAAAUUAGUUGUCUUAUGAAAUGUGUAUUUAAAAAGAGUAUUGACCCACAAAAUUUUAAAAGAGAAACUACAAUAUUUAUUUGAAAUUUACUUCAAUUAGAUAUUUGUAAUUGUAAUUAGUUACUGAAAAAAAAUGAAUUAAAUAAUAUCAAUAAUGACUUCAACUUACGAAGUAUAAAUAAAUUAUUAAAUUUAUUAUUACUCAUAAUCUAUCGAAAAUUUUUCAUCAUACACUCCAUGACUAAACCUAAGUUUCGAUCGGUAAUCUUACCUUUGAAAGAUACUGUCAUUGAGUCUUAUUCAACUUCCGAAAGAUCUUCAUUAUGAAAACUUUAGUUACACCCAAUAUAAAAUUUAAAUUGUGAGCUAAAUUUUGUAAAGUUAACUUAGUUGAAUAUUAAUAUAUUAAUAUAGUAACUGAUUAAUGAAAUUUGAACCUCUAAAUGUUUGUAACAUAGCAAAUUGUAAAACUAUCAUUACCGACUCUUUAUCUUCACUUGACUUGUUUUCAAUAAAUAUUAUGAGUUCAUCGACAUAUGAUUCCCACAAUACGCAAAUUACUCUUGUGUCACUGCUACGUAUAAUUAACAACAUAAUUAAGAAUAAAAUAAAAAUUCCAAAUUAUUAUUCAACGAAUAUUUGAAAAACUUAUUCUGCAUCAACCAAUGGUAUGCCACACUUUUUAGCUUAGCCAUAUUUUAUUUCUACACAAUCUAUAUAUGUUAAUAUAUAUUUUUUGUCUUGACCUCCCCAAUAAUAUAAAAUUUUUAUAUAAUAUAUUACACUUAUUCCAUACCAAUUUGGGAUUAUAUAAGUGAAUAUUUCUAAAAUUAAUGAAAUCAAAUCCAUUUUGCGAUGUCCACAUAGAAUAGUCAUAUUAUAUUUAUAGACACAAUCCUAUAAAAAUCAAUACACAUUACUUACAAAUUACAAUAUAUCAACUUAUUUACAUAUUUUAUCAUAUAUAUCCCACCAUUUGAAUUAAAGUGAAACCUUGUAUCCACUUUAACAUUAUCUCUAAAGUGGUCGUUUUCUCCACUCACAAUAUAUUAAUUACUACAAUUAUUAAAAUCAGUCAUUCUCUUUUAGUUUAUUUUUAUAAGACAUUGAGUUUUAAUUAGUUACUGAAAAUUAUUAAAAAGAUAUAUAUUGGAACUGAGGAAUUCUUUAUUGGAGAGUACGUAUAUAAGUUGUUGAAAACAUUUUAAUUAUAAGCUCAACAAAACACUCUAUUGAUUUCAUUGUUAAUUUGAAGGCUUCUGGCUGGUUAUAGACUACUUAAAUUAAUUAGACUUAUACUAUAAAUGGCGCAAUUAAAAUAAUGAUGAAAAGAAAUUCGAAUCUAUGUUUAAUCAUAAAUAGUUAUAACAAUCAUAUAUAAUUAAAUUUAUCAUAUCAUUAUAUAUAAAAAUAUUUAUAUAGAUUUUUUAAUUAAUGUAGAGUUUGAUAAGAGGGGGAGAUUGAUUAUUAGAGAUUUAGAAAGAAAAAAAUAGAAUGAAUGAGAAUUGAGAAAAAUUAGAAUAGAGUGAUUAUACGACGCCACGUAGGAUAUGAUUUAUUUUGCUUUUAUAGGAAUUCUUUAUUGGAGAGUACGUAUAUAAGUUGUUGAAAACAUUUUAAUUAUAAGCUCAACAAAACACUAUAUUGAUUUCAUUGUUAAUUUGAAGGCUUCUGGCUGGUUAUAGACUACUUAAAUUAAUUAGACUUAUAUAUACUAUAAAUGGCGCAAUUAAAAUAAUGAUGAAAAGAAAUUCGAAUCUAUGUUUAAUCAUAAAUAGUGAUAACAAUCAUAUAUAAUUAAAUUUAUCAUAUCAUUAUAUAUAUAAAUAUUUAUAUAGAGUUUUUAGUUAAUGUAGAGUUUGAUAAGAGGUGGAGAUUGAUUAGAGAAUUAGAAAAAAAUAAAUAGAANCCCAUCGUGACCACGAUGGCCGCCAUCGUGGCCAUGGUCGUGACCUCGACGGCGCCAUCGUGCCCACGAUGGGAGCCUGCCAUCGUGAAUCCGACGACGAGACCCCCGUCGUGCCACCCCGCCCCAAGCCCCCGUCGUGACCACGAUGGACGCCAUCGUGGGCCAUCGUCGUGACCUCGACGGCGCCAUCGUGCCCACGAUGGGGAGCCUGCCAUCGUGAAUCCGACGACGAGACCCCGUCGUGCCUACCCGCCCCAAGCCCCUUCGUGCCACCCGCCUCAGGCCCCUGUCGUCGUGCCCACCCUGCCCCAACCCCCGUCGUGUCCAUCCACGAUCGUUCCCCCAAUUUCAGCCGAAAAAUUCACAAAAAACACCAAAAUUCUCAAGAAAUUUUCAACAAAUCUCAACAAACUCUAGCUAUUUACCAACUAAACAUGAUUCUCAAAGCAUUAUAACACAUAUACAUGCAUUUAACAAUGAAUUUAGGCUCCAAUUUUUCAAGGGAGGCAAAAUUGGGCGAAAAUUAGGGCUCACUCACCGGAGGAGUAGGAUGUGCGAGACGCUCCUCCUCUUCGGAGCUUGUCGCCGACACCGAGUCGUCGUCGUUCCGGUCGCGGUCGCCCAUCUCGACGUCGUGACUGGAAUUCGAUCGUGUGGUGGCGCCGGUCGUGAGCGUGUCGUGAGUUGGGAGAGAGAGAGAGAAUUUGAAUUUGGGGGUGGAGGGAGGAGAGAGGAGGGGCCGAUGACUUCUCUUCUUUUUUUUUUUUUUUGCUUUUCUUUAAUGAUAUAAUGUAAGGGUAUUUUAGUCUUUUAACUGAUUUUGGUAUACAAAAGAGUUGUUUUUAAGUUGAGGCUAAAAGAGUUAUCUUUUUUAAUUUUUGGUAUUUAAAAACUCCGACCCCGUUUAGUUUUGGGUUAUUUUUAUCUAACAAAAAAUGACGAGCCCCGAAUUGUCCACAUUAAGAUUCAAGCAUUCCAAGUCAGCUUUAAUUUGAGAAAAAUGAAAAACAUGUUAAAAAUUAAAUAAGUUUAAAGUACAUGUAUUUAUAACUAUGUUUUCAAGUUUAUGUUAAAUAUUAAAAAUGAGUAAAGUUCAUGUAUUUAUAACUUGAAUUUAAAAUUCAUGUUAAAUACCAAAAAGUGAGUAAAGUACAUGUAUUUAUACACCAAUUACUCUAAAUAUAAUCACAAUAUAUAUACCUAAAUCACUGUUGUGACGGAAUAGGAUUAAAGAGCAUAAUCAAUUAAUCAAACAGAAAACGUAAAUAAGACCCCCGAAGUGCGAAGCAAGAGAUUCAAAACAUAACAACAAUCACCACUAAAUAUAAUCGCAAUAUACCUAUAUUUAAGACAUUUUUGAUAAUGCAGUAUAGUUUUCAGAUUUUAGUGAUAUUCGUCUCCUGUCAUUUUAUUUAAAAAAUAAAAAUUAUACAGUUACAUCUAGCAAAUCACGUCAACAUUCUGAAGACAUAAUAUUCUCUUAUUUAAGCUUUGAAAAUUUAAAGUUUAAAUAAAUAUUUAUUAUAAUUCGAAAUGUUUGGAUAAGGAAGUAGAGUUUAAAUUGAUAUUGCCCUAAAAUAAAUAGAAGAUAAUUAUUUAUUCAUAAUCAAUUUUAGAGUUUAUUUUAGAAUUUUGCUGAUUUGAACAUAAAGAGAAGGGUCAGUUUUUUACAAACGUAUUUCAAAAAUGUCUUGCUUCCAUUUCUGGCACCAAAACUUUUAAUGUGGCUCGUCAGUCAGAUGUUAAUGUAUAAUUUUUCUUUUUAUUUUUAAAUGAUAUUACAUAAAAUAUAUUUUGCGCCAUAUUUUUAUUUCAAUUUUGUGAAACAAAAGUUAAGUAUAAUUUAAAAUAUUAUAAUAAAUAUUAUUUUUAUAAAAAAUAUUUUUAAAAUAAUAGAUAUUAUGGAGGUUUACUAUUUUAGAUGUGUUUUCUAUUUUAGAUGUGUUUUCUAUUUUGUUGUUAAUUUAAUUUUUUAGAACAAAAAAUCAUUAUCCAUCAUUUAAUAUAAUAAAUUUCACUGUGAAAAUAAUAAUUUUAUACGUUAAGUGACUCAAGUGUAAAAUUCAGGCAUUCUAAAAAAAAAUAGAGUUCAUGUGCCAACCCCCACAUUCUAGUUAUAUUUUUUUUUCAACUUUCAGGGUCUACUUUUUAUUUUCUAGGUUUUAUGGAUUUGUUUUGAAAUUUAUAGGUUGCUUUUUAUUUUAUUUUAAAAUCAACAUAUCGAAUGCAAUAAUUAAAUCGUUCUAUUUUUAGUUGUGAAUUCACAACUACUUGAAAUCACAAUCAAAAUAAAUCAUGGUUGUGAAAUGCGUGAAUUUUUUAAAGGGUAAUUUUUUAAAUUUUUAUAUGGAAGGAAAAAAUGGUAAGUGUGGCUAAUUUUUUAAGUUUUUAUGUUAGUGGGAAAUUUUUAAAUUUACUAUUUCAAAGUGGCUAUUUUCAAAUCCACUCAAAAUAAAAACACCUCUUAAACUAUACAAUAUGAUCUAUUUUCAAUCCUUAAAUUAUCAAGAUCUACAAUUAAUUUAUCAUUUUAUUGGAUGAAUUCAUGGUCCUGAGUUCGAAUCUCAUAGAUAACAAAAAAUUUAUCUUUUGCAAUUCAGACAUUUACACAAAAAAUUCAAACGUGUUCUACAUAGAAUUAAUACAUUUUAGCUAGUUCAUAUUUUAUAUAUUAAGAAGUGUUUAUACCCCUAACCCUCCCACCCACACACAUACAUAUAUAUAUAUAUAUAUAUAUAUAUAUAUAUAUAUAUAUAUAUAUAUAUAUAUAGGAAGAGGUUCUAAUAAAAACCUCUUUUAACAUGAGAACUAGGAACCACAUCUUAGCCUUUAAAUUUGAAGAUCUAAUGGAUAGGAUUAAUUUAAAAAAACUAACGCCUAAAAUGAGGUUAGUAAUUGUUGACAUCCGUUUUUUUUCCUUUUCAAUUACUAAAAGGUUACAUUUGUCUUUUAACAAUUACUUAAUUAAUCCUCCAUAGGGAAAGCACGAUUUGGAUUACACUUUACCACGAUUUGGAUUACACUUUUAACAAUUAUUUAAUUAAACCUCUAUGAUAUGCAGGAUUUGGAUUACCUAAUUAAACCUAGAUGAUAUUCAAGAAAUCUAUGCAUUUUUAGGUAGUCGUGUGUGUCUUCUUUUCGCUUCUAAUCUUUUAUUUUCUGUUCUUAAUUUUCUCUCAUUCUUUCUCCAAGUCUUCUUUAUUCUUCCAUACUCUUAAUAUCAAUUAUUUUUUAUGACAGUUGUACCAGUAUUUAUACACGAUGAACACUGAAGGUAUUUAUUAAUUUAAUUGUAUUAUUUUUUUUGUUGAUUAAUUUAAUUUAUUUAUUUUCGAUUUUUUUAAAAAGAUUUUAUGUUUAUUUGAUUUUGAGGAAGUUGUUCUUUUGCAGUGUUAAUUGUUUAUGUAUUGCACAAAAUAUUUGUAGUAUUUUAGUUGCAUAGUUUUUAUUUUAAAUGCAUAGAUUUUUAUGCAUAGAUGUUUGAUUUGGUUUUAUUUGAUUUGAAAUUGAGAUAUGCACGAUUUGACUUCACCCGAUUCUGGCCGAUUGUGUUAAUUUCUGUAAAAUUUAGUAGAUGAUGGGUGUUGUUGAUUUGCAUAGAUGAAAGAUGGUGAUGCAUAGAUGUUGGAUUGUGUUUCAUAGUUAUCAUUUUGUUUGAUUUGCAUAGGUGAAUGAUUAUGAUGCAUAGAUUGUUAUGCGUAGGUGUAAAUAAGUAUUAAUUUUAGUUGCAUAUUUUUUAUUUUAAAUGCUCCAAUUCGAAUUAAUAAAAAAAAUGCCAAGAUUUAUUUACUGCAUACAUAAAAUAGUGUGUUGCAUAUUUGAAGCUUUGCAUACAUAAAAUAGUGUGUUGCAUAUUUGAAGCUUAAUUUGCAUAAACCAUUGUAUUUAAUUUUGAAUUUGUUUCUGACAAUUUAUUGCAUUGUAAUGCAUAUAAUUGUAACCCCAAACCAACAUCUAUGCACUGCCAACUUCAAAAUAAUUAUUGUUUUCCGCUCAAUCCGCUGGAGUAAGUUAAGCUCCUGCUUCUUUUUUUGUUUUCUAGCACAAAAAUUCGUUGUUUUGCAUAGAAGAUCACCAGAAGGAAAAAACAAAAAAGUAGUUGAAAUUAUGGAAGAACUAAUAAGAUCCACUGCACAACAAUAUUACGUUACGUACUCCAAUUUAUGCCUUCAUAUAUAACAGAAAUAUAAAAUGAGAAUCUGAAUCCAAAUGUAACAAGCUCCCGAUAUCACACGUCUCAAUCACCAAAACACACAAUUAAGUAUUCAACUAAUUAAUUUAAACUUGGUUAAUAGUUAGGGCUAGUUAAUUUCCCCUGAUGAAGUCAAUGAAUUAAGAAGACGAUGAUUAUCGCUCAAAACCUCCUCUUCUCUCUCUUGAUACUCUCUCUCCAAUAUUUCUUGGAAACCUCUGUUGCUUCUAACAGCAGCCAUUGCAGCCCCUCUAGCUGUGGCAUUCUUGGCAAUAUUUGGCCCCCUUUCCGCCUCAAGAAUGACCCCAACAAUUGCGGCAAUCCCAUGUUAGAACUAGGCUGCGAAAACAACAUAGCCUCAAUGUACAUGAACUCACAAAAAUACCUUAUAAUUAUAAUGCAUAUAAUUGUAAACCCAAACCAACAUCUAUGCACUGCCAACUUCAAAAUAUGUAACCCCACUAACAAAAACAGAACAAAAACAUUUCAAUUUGGCUAUCUAUACAUCAAUACCCAACAUAUAUGCAUCACAACCUCAAUGCUUCAAUUUUUCCCAUUUAUGCAUAAAUAUCCAACAUCUAUGCAUCACAAUGCUUCAUCUAUGAAAAUCAAACAAAACCUAUCAAAUAAUCGCAAUAAAUUAUAACUAUGCAACCCAAUCCAACAUCUAUGCACUAACAACUUCAAAAAAUGUAACAAAAACAGAACUACGCACGUUUCAUUUGUAUAUCUAUGCAUCACGCUCCAACAUCUAUGCAUCACAACCAUAGAAUAUAAAAAAAAAAAAAACGUACUAAUUUUUGCCAUUUAUACUACACANNNNNNNNNNNNNNNNNNNNNNNNNNNNNNNNNNNNNNNNNNNNNNNNNNNNNNNNNNNNNNNNNNNNNNNNNNNNNNNNNNNNNNNNNNNNNNNNNNNNNNNNNNNNNNNNNNNNNNNNNNNNNNNNNNNNNNNNNNNNNNNNNNNNNNNNNNNNNNNNNNNNNNNNNNNNNNNNNNNNNNNNNNNNNNNNNNNNNNNNNNNNNNNNNNNNNNNNNNNNNNNNNNNNNNNNNNNNNNNNNNNNNNNNNNNNNNNNNNNNNNNNNNNNNNNNNNNNNNNNNNNNNNNNNNNNNNNNNNNNNNNNNNNNNNNNNNNNNNNNNNNNNNNNNNNNNNNNNNNNNNNNNNNNNNNNNNNNNNNNNNNNNNNNNNNNNNNNNNNNNNNNNNNNNNNNNNNNNNNNNNNNNNNNNNNNNNNNNNNNNNNNNNNNNNNNNNNNNNNNNNNNNNNNNNNNNNNNNNNNNNNNNNNNNNNNNNNNNNNNNNNNNNNNNNNNNNNNNNNNNNNNNNNNNNNNNNNNNNNNNNNNNNNNNNNNNNNNNNNNNNNNNNNNNNNNNNNNNNNNNNNNNNNNNNNNNNNNNNNNNNNNNNNNNNNNNNNNNNNNNNNNNNCCAAACUAGCAAUUAAUCUAAAUAUAGAUUACUUUUAUUAUUAGAGUCAAUUACAUACUAUAUUUUUGCAUGGGGUGGUAUCAUCCAAACUAGCAAUUUAAUUCUUCUACGGAAAGUUAACGGAACAUAUAUAUUUUUUAAUGUAGUGAUGAUUUCAUCAGAUAGAUUUUUUUAUCUAAAUCUAAUAAUUUAGAUAUUCGUGUAUACUUUUUAAAAAAGUUUAUAAAUGAAUACAUUCUUUUAAAUAUGUAGUAGAAUAGAAGCUUACUUGCUGCAAGGUUUAAUUUUGCGGCCGUCAAGCCAGACGGUGAGAUUGGGAAAGUUGUUGUGCCACUCUGCAGGAAUAGGAUCAAUGCCUAAUUCCCCACAAUUGACAAUCCAUAAUUUCUCCAAUGCAUCCCCCCAGCAAGAGGGCAGACGCCUCAACUUGUUGCAUCUAAUCAGACGUAACCACCGUAGAGAUGGAAGGUUCCCCAACCAUUCAGGCAAUUCUUCUACCCCUAAAUUAUGUAACGCUAACCCAUUAAGAGCCGUGAGAUGUUGAAUUGAUUCUGGUAACCACUCCCAAUUUUCCACCCCUCUUAAGUGCAAGUAAGUAAGUGAGUUGCAGCAUCCUUGCAAUAAGGCAUCCACAGUCUGUUUAAUGCCAACACUACUCUCCAUUGACCACUCCAAACUCACAUCUAUCACUAACAUCUUAAGCACCCUAAACCCCAACACUUGACACUAUCAAUAGGAACACCAACAAUUCUCAAAUUCUGAGACUCACUGCUUUAGCGAGGCAGUCAAUUACCAUCGGCAGAUUCUUUAGGCUGCUUAAUCCCCUCAACGUGAGAUCCUCGAUUGUUGGCGCCCAUGACUCUAGCAUUUGACGUGGCAAAACCAUCAACCCUUCGCACAUUGAAAUCGUGAGCUGACGAAGGAUUCCUUGUGAUUGUCCUUCUCUGCCACUUGGAUUCCCUAUUGACUUCACAUUUCGACAAUAAUAUAUACCCAACCUCUCCAGAGAAUUGAGGGUGUCCAGUCCAUCUGGUAAUUCUCUCAACCUGGGGCAUCCACUUAUCUCCAACUCUGAUAGAUUCUGAUUCUUAUAGAAUAACCAAUCUGGCAGACAUUCCAAUCCCUCCAAGUCUUCUAUAUUGAGGGAUAUUAAUUUAGAAAAUGAAGAAUUUAUGAACCUCAGCUUCUCCAAUCCUAUCAAAGAAAGAGAUUUGAGAUUUGGCAAGUGCUCCAGCUGUGGGAUUUCCUCACAUUCUGAGCACCUCUUGAGUGUUAUCUCAAUCAAGUUUUGAAGUGGUACCCAAGAGGCUUGAGGCCCAUCCCGUACUGCCAUCUUCUCAAUCCAUUCUGGAAAUCUUUUGCCUUUGAAUCCUUUAAUCUCUAACUUCUUCAGAUUGGCAUUUGCAUGAGGUUGGAGGCCUUCCAACACACUGUCGUCAUUUCUUUCACCUUCUCUCUCCUCAUCCCAUUCAAACCCCAAAUCAAAUAAGUUUGGCUUCUCAAAUAUCUUUGCUUUCUCUGCCUCUUCUUUGCCCUGCACCUUUUCCAAACUACUAAUCACUAGUUGUCCUUUGAGAUUCUUCAAACUUCCGAGCUCUUCAAUUUGAUAGCCCUUGUUGUCACCCACUUUAAAGUGCCUUAGUGUUUGGAGACAACUUAAUCUCCCAAUCUCCGCAGGCAACUUCACAUCAUCAUCGAUAUAGAGAUGCCUUAAGUUAAUCAAGUACUUUAACGUACUUGGCAGAAACAGCCUAUUCCCCCACCUCCUGUCGGCUCUUAAUGUUUGCAAGUGAUGGAAUUCACUAAUCCAGUCUGGCAAAUUCUUAAUUCCCGUAUUUGAAAUAUCAAGAUUUCUCAAAUGUAUCAUCUUCCUAACUGAAUUGGGCAACUCUUCAACUCCAUAACGCUUAAGAGUAAGAACAUGCAGACUUUCCAAGUUACCCGGAAUUUCAUCACCUUCCAAGAACAAUGUACGCAAAUGUUUUGCCACUUGUUUUGGCACAGGCUUUGACCCUUGAAGAGUGAUGUAUCUGAUUUGGUUGCAGCCAUCUGCAUUAUUAGAACCACCCAAAACAGAAGAUGCCAGAUCAUGCACAAGAUCGUGCAUCACACAACUCUCCACAUUUCCAAUAUCAUCUCUCCCUGCAACUUGCAACAAAGAGUUUUGUAGAAGCAUAUUAAAGAACAUCUCGCCCACAGACUCCAUAUCAUCUCUUCCAUUUGGCUCAAGAAAACCUUCUGCCAUCCAUUGUUCGAUCAGCUUCUGCUUCACAAUCUUUCCACCUUUUGGGAAAAUUGAACAGUAUGUGAAACACUUCUUGAGAGAUGGUGAAGACAAAUUAUCAAAGCUCAAUCUCAAAAUUUUCGAGAUGUUAUCUCCAUCAACAUCUGUAAGCCAUCUUUGUUCGACUUCGAGCCACUCUUCUUGAGAUUUACAGCGAAGCACUCCCCCGACCACAUUGGCAGCUAAGGGCAAACCUUUACAUCUUUUUGCAAUCUUUUUUCCAAUCAUCUCGAAUCCUGAUGGCACUUCUCCAUUUUCAUCAAAAGUCUUAGCUUUGAUUAUGGACCAGCAAUCUUCAUCUGAUAAGCCUGUUAACAUAUGAAUGUCAAUUGGCUUCACAGUUGAAGCAACCUUUUGACUCCUGGUAGUGAUGAUGAUGCCAUUUCCUUUAGUAGAAGUUACUCCCGACAGAGAAUUUAUAAAGCCUUCCCAUGUCGGAACAUCUUGAUUCCAUAUAUCAUCAAGAACAAGAAGAUAAGUUUUAGUCUUGAGAGUUUCUUGAAGCUUUUCAAGAAUAUCUUCUCUGCUCUCAACUCCAUCAAUACUCUUUCUAGUUUCCAGGAUAUCAUCAUCUCUGCUCUCAACUCCAUCUCCAUCAGCAGUGUUUUUAGCCAUCUUGAAAAGUAUUUUCUUGAAAAGAAGAAUUGGAUCAAAAGUUUGAGAAACAUGAACCCAAAGCCGUGAUCCAAAUCGAGUCUUCAUUUUUUCAUGAUUGAAGACUUUCCUAGUCAACGUAGUUUUCCCCAUACCUCCCAUUCCGACAAGAGCAAGGAUAGAGAAGAUCCGCUCCUGUGGGUGGGUCUGGGUGAGCAUCUCAACAAGUUUAGGCACAUCAUCAUCUCUUCCAAUAAAGAUUGGAUCAAGAGAGAAUGAAUCAGUCUCAAAGGAAGCAUUCAGAGCAGCAGUAGGUGCAUUCACUACUAUGCUCUGAAGGCCGAGCUCGGUUGCCCUUUUGUUCAUAUUCUCAAAACUCGUAUUGAUUUGUUUGAUUCUAAGAGCCAUAUUUCGUGGGCGUGAGAUGUGAUUCAAGGAUGAGAAGCAUGAUAGUACCUUAUCCUUGCGUGACAUCAUUUUGUUGACUUUUUUGUGGAGAAGAUGAUAGUUGAGUUCAUCCACAACAUUAUCAGCAUCGAAGGCCAGUGCUUCAAGCUUCCUCAACCAGAUCUUGACAGCAUCUUGGGAGAUGGAUUUCUUCUCCGCAUCAUUCAAGUAACCCUGAAUGAUUCCCAAAGUCGUUUGCAGCUGUUGGGCAUCUUCGUCGAGACCUCGAAGUAGAGAGUGCUCUUCUUUGAAAACAUUGAUAAGGCUUUGAAGCAGAAUUUCAAUGGCUGCAGCAGACACACCUCCUCCAUCCAUGGUUUGCAGAGAGAGAAUGCUUGUGAACUUUUUUUUUUGUGUGUGAAGAUGAUGAUUGUAAAGUUGUAGAUGACCAUUCAAACAUUAUCUCUCUUCAAUUAUGUACUCACGGGUCGCCAGGAGUGAGCAAAAUCAGGUUAACUCCGAAAAUUUGAACUGAACCUAAUUGAAAUAUUAAUUGGGUUCGGUUAAUUUGGUUUUCGGUUCGGUUUCGGUUUUGAAUUUUGAAAUUUUUGAUUUUUUUUUUAUAUUUCGGUUAUGGCUUUUAAGAAAAAAUAUUUGGUUUACCGAAAAUCGAACCAAAAUAAUAAUUAAUUUAAUAAUUUAUACAUAUUAUUUAAAAAUUAAAAUGAUUAUUAUUACUAUUUCGUAAAAUAGUCAAUAAUUACUCUUAAUUUAUACUCUUAAUUUUGGUCAAUUUAAAAAAAUUAAAGUAAUUUUUCAAUAAUUACUCUUAAUUUAUACUCCUAAUCUUUGGUUAAGAUGUUAUCAAAUUUUGAAUUAUUAUUUUUUACAUAUUUCGAAUCUUGUAUAUUGAAUGUUAAUUAGUUAUUUAAAUAUUACUCCCUCCGUCCCACUCUAAAUGUCCCAUUUGCCAUUUUGGGUUGUCCCACUCCAAAUGACCCAUUCCCUUUUUGGCAAAAGACUCUCUCUCUAUACCUAAUAUUUAAAUAAUUUCCACCAACCCACUUUAUCUACUUUAUACCCACUUUAUCUACUUUUUACACCUUUCUUAAUCUCCGUGCCCAAAAGAAAGGAGACAUUUGAAGCGGGACGGAGGGAGUAAAAAAUAUAUUGUGUACUUAUUUCGGUUAUUUGGUUUUAACCGAAACCGAACUGAAAUAUUUCGGGUCGAUUUUGUUCGGUUUUAAGCAUGUUUAGUUCGAAUUUGAAUACUAAUUAUAUAAUUCGAUUUUAAUUUAAUUUUUGUUAUUCGGUUCGGUUCGCUGACCGAAUGCUCACNGAAGAACACCGCGAGAAGGGAACAAUCCCACCCUCUACAUUUUAACUCUCAAUUCGACUCCACUAAAACAUAAAUAAAACUCCUAUUUAUAAUAAAACCCUAAACAUCUAAAAGGAAACAAACUAACUUGACCAACAAGACAAGUCAAUAAUUAAUUAAAGAUAUAAUAUAUUAUACGAUUCUAUCUUCAUCACUUUACCAUGUGGAGAUAUCUUUGGUGUUUAUUUCUGAAUUUGUGAUGCAUUUUGUCUUAGUGGCUGUAACACAGAGAAUUAGGUUUAUUGGCCCACUAACAUCUCUCAAUCUCCCCCUCUCUGUGGGAAGAAAACAAUCUUUUUCAAUGAGUUAUUUGAGCUGUAUUUUCUUUAAUAAAAUGAGAAUCUCUAUCAGAACAACAGUUAAAUGGCUUUGUUUCUGUUUGCUAUAAUAUUGCGCUUUCCAACUGGGAGUUUAUACAUUUCUCUUAACUCCUACUGUGACUUUCUGAAAGGUAAUGAAUGCGAAGUUCAAUAUAAGAUUAUGUUCUUGGGCUCUAGUCUCUUGGUCCUUUCUGUUAUAUUUUCUAUGAAUUAUUCCCUUUCAAUUAUGAAGGAUUAUUAUGCCAUGAUCAAAUUUGCCAUACGUGUGCCCAUCUGUUUUUCUAUCCUUGGGUUACUAUUCUCUGAACAUUCUUUUUUUGGGUUUAUUAGAGGUUUGCAAAUCCAUUUUUGGCAUUUCUAAUGUUUGUGCCAUUGCCAUGCUCAAUUGUUUCAAUUCUUUCCAUAUAGCAAGGAAACGAUGCACCAAAAAGGGUUGUUUUUCAGCAGACAAUAGGUACAUUUGGAUCAACCCAUAUUAAUUAUCAGUCGCACACUGAGUUGGUCGUGUGGUUAUUCAGUGGCAUCAAAGUGUUACAUAUGUGCAUGUUGUAUAGCUCUCCGUUCAUCGCGUGAAAUGGCAGGUAAUUCAGUUAGGAGUUGUGAUAAAUUAAAUUCAUGAAAACUGCUUGCAAUAUUUGAAUGAUGCUAAUGUACUAGUGGACUAUAGGUCUGGUCAUUGAAGUAGCUAUGAUUUUAUUUACAGAGGAAUGUUAGCAUACACACCAUCAUGUGCAUCUCCAUCAACACCUAGACCUAGUGUAUUGGAUUGGAUCAUUAUUUCAAAAUGAAUAUACUCAUGCAUCUCCUGCUCCGGUUCCAGCGGUCGCUGGGUUGCUCCAGUUCCAGCGGUAGCUGGGCUCCAGCCGGCGCUGGAUUGCUGCCUUCCUAAUUCCUAUCAAGUCAAUGAAAAUCCAUGAAAAUUAAUAUAAAAAAAGUCACCAAAACUCUGCAUAAAGUCUAUUGAUUUUUUAAACCCACAAAAAUCAAUAGACUUUUUAAAAUCCAAAAAAAUAUAACAGAAUCCCAAACCAAUACACCCCCUAAGAAUUUCUGUUAUUACAAUCAUGGAUUUCACACCUCAUUGGAACAAAUACUAGUGUUUGUGAUACAAUCCAUACUUGGUGAAGCCAGUUACACAUUUAGCAUCAAAAUUUAACAUUAGCCUCACGCUGCUCUGCCACCAUAGAGGAAAGCAAUAAAUAAUUGCUGCUUAUCUUUUGUCGCAUAUUAUUCAAAUUAGCAAUUCCGUAGUGAUGAUUUUAAUUCGUUCCUUAUAACACCAUACAUCCAACGUCAAAUUUUAAGGCAAGUUUGCGUGUGUUGGUAUAAUAAUAGUAUGGUUAAUGUUUGAAGCCAAAAUUUUUAAGUUCGAGUCAUUUGUCGUACAACUUUUAAACUUAUUUGUUCAUUCACAAAAAAUAAAAAAAAAUAGUUAGACAAGUUUGAUUUUCAAGGAAUAUUUAGGUAGCUGUCUACAAAGUGUCCAAUAAAUGAGUUUCAUAAAGCAAAUAAGAUAUAUAUAUACAUCACAAAUUUCUUACAUUCUAUUUCAUCAUCAAUCUAUCAUGUUUUCCUUUAAAUAAAUAAAUAAAUCUAUCAUAUUUCAUUUCAUGCCAUCCGUGUUCUUAACUACUUUCAUGGCUUGAAUUAAAGCUACUUCAACAGCUUAUGUGUCCUCAAAAGAUUGAUAUGAAAUUCAUAUUUAUUUUCUAAAUUUUAUUUUUACAUAAUUAAUUUUAAAUUCCACGAAUUAUAGCAAAAUUAAACUUUUAAGAAAAAAACAACCUCAACAAAGAAAGAAAAAUGAAACUUACUUGCUGCAAGGUUUAAUCUGGCGGCCGUCAACCCAGAUGGUGAGAUUGGGAGAGUUGUUGUGCCACUCUGCAGGAUCAAUGUGUAAUUCUCCACAAUCUUCGAUAUAUAAAACCUCCAAUGCAUCCCAGCAAGAGGGCAGAUGCCUCAACUUGUUGCAACUAUUUAGAGUUAAGCUCCGUAGGGAUGGAAGGUUCCCCAACCAUUCAGGCAAUUCUUCUACCCCUAAAUUAUGCAAGUUUAACACAUUAAGAGCUGUGAGAUGUUGAAUUGAUUCUGGUAACCACUCCCAAUUUUGCACCCCUCUUAAGGUGAAAUUAGUAAGUGAGUUGCAGCAUCCUUGCAAUAAGGCAUCCACAGGCUCUUUCAUGCCAACACUACUCUCCAUUGACAACUCCUCACUCACAUCUAUCACUAAUUCUCUUGAGCAGCCUAAAGCCCAAAUCUUGACACUAGCAAUCGGAACACCAACAAUUUUCAAAUUUGUGAGAUGAGCUGCCUUAGCGAGGCAGUCAACUACCAUCGGCAGAUUCUUUAGGCUGCUUAAUCCCUUCAAUUCGAGACACUCGAUUGUUGGCGCCCAUGACUCUAGCAUUUGACGUGGCAAAACCAUCAACCCUUGGCACCUUUCAAUCACGAGUUCGCGUAGGAUUCCUUGUGAUUGUCCUUCUCUGCCACUUGGAUUCCCUAUUGACUUCAGAUUUGGACAAUCAUGUAUAACCAACUUCUCCAGAGAAUUGAGGGUGUCCAGUCCAUCUGGUAAUUCUCUCAACUUGGGGCAUUGCCUUAUCUCCAAAUUUGAGAGAUUCUGAUUGUUAUAAAACAACCAAUCUGGCAGACAUUCCAAUCCCUCUAAGCAUUCUAUAUUGAGGGACAUUAAUUUAGAAAAUGAAGAAUUUAUGAACCUCACCUUCUUCAAUGAAUCCAAAGAAAGAAAUUUGAGAUUUGGCAAGUGCUCCAGCUGUGGGAUUUCCUCACAUUCUGAGCAGAAGGAGAGUGUUAUCUGAAUCAAGUUUUCAAGUGGUAGCCAAGAGGCUUGAGGUCCAUCCCGUACUGCCAUCUUCUCAAUCCAUUCUGGAAAUCUUUUGCCUUUGAAUCCAUAAAUCUCUAACUUCUUCAGAUUGGCAUUUGCAUGAGGCUGGAGGCCUUCCAACACACUCUCCUCAUCACUUCUUUCACCUUCUCUGACAGAACCACAUUGAAACAUCAAAUCAAAUAACUUCGGCAUCCCAAAAUAACCCCAUUGAAACCUCAAAUCAAAUAAGUUUGGCUUCUCAAAUAUCUUUGCUUUCUCUGCUUCUUCUUUGCCAUGCACCUUUUCCAAACUACUAAUCACUAGUUUUCCUUUGAGAUUCUUCAAACUUCCAAGCUCUUCAAUUCGAUGGCCCUUCUUGUCACCAACUCUAAAGUGCCUUAGUGUUUGGAGACAAGUUAAUCUCCCAAUCUCCGCUGGCAAAUCUAUACUGUCGUUGAUAUAGAGAUGCCUUAAGUUAAUCAAGUACUUUAACGUACUUGGCAGAAGAAUCGAUCUAUUCCACCUCAACCUUCUCUCGGCUCUCUCGGCUCUUAAUGUUUGCAAAUGAUGGAAUUCACUAAUCCAGUCUGGCAAAUUCUCAAUUUCUGUAUUUGAAAUAUCAAGAUUUCUCAAAUGUAUCAACUUCCUUACUGAAUUGGGCAACUCUUUAACCCCAUCACUCUUAAGAGUAAGAACAUGCAGACUUUCCAAGUUGGACAACAUGUUACCCGAAAUUUCUUCACCUUCCGAGAACAAUGUACGCAAAUGUUUUGGGGUAGGUUCUGAUCCAUCUUCAUCAUUAGAAGAACCCAAAACAGAAGAUGCCAGAUCAUGCACAAGAUCGUGCAUCACACAACUCUCCACAUUUCCAAUAUCAUCUCUCCCUGCAACUUGCAACAAAGAGUUUUGUAAAAGCAUAUUAAAGAACAUGUCGCCCACGGACUCCAUAUCAUCUCUUCGAUUUGGCUGAAGAAAACCUUCUGCCAUCCAUUGUUCAAUCAGCUCCUGCUUCACAAUUUUGCCACCUUUUGGGAAAAUUGAACAGUAUGUGAAGCACUUCUUGAGUGACGGUGAAGACAAAUUAUCAUAGCUCAAUCUCAAAAUUUUCGAGAUGUUAUCUCCGUCAACAUCUGUAAGCCAUCUCUGUUUGACUUCGAGCCACUCUUCUUGAGAUUUACAGCGAAGCACUCCCCCGACCACAUUGGCAGCUAAGGGCAAACCUUUACAUCUUUUUGCAAUCUUUUUUCCAAUCAUUUCCAAGCCUGAUGGAACUUCACUAUUUUCAUCAAAAGUUUUAACUUUGAUUAUGGACCAGCAAUCUUCAUCUAAUAAGCCUUUUAACAUAUGAAUGUCAAGUGGGUUCACAAUUGAAGCAACCUUCUCAUUCCUGGUAGUGAUGAUGAUGCCAUUUCCUUUAGUAGAAGUUACUCCCGACAAAGAAUUUAUAAAGCCUUCCCAUGUCGGAACAUCUUGAUUCCAUAUAUCAUCAAGAACAAGAAGAUAAGUUUUAGCUUUCAAAGCUUCUU
This 18583-nucleotide long non-coding RNA is filed under the name Salvia miltiorrhiza (redroot sage). RNAcentral's name for it is "long non-coding RNA (SMIL_LNC010450)". The record is from RNAcentral. Lineage: Eukaryota; Viridiplantae; Streptophyta; Magnoliopsida; Lamiales; Lamiaceae.